This 225-nucleotide ribosomal RNA is filed under the name uncultured bacterium. RNAcentral's name for it is "partial 16S ribosomal RNA". It matches the Rfam family "Bacterial small subunit ribosomal RNA", at positions 15 to 230 of the family's 1533-position model. The record is from RNAcentral.
GAUCAUGGCUCAGGAUGAACGCUAGCUACAGGCUUAACACAUGCAAGUCGAGGGGCAGCAUGGUCUUUAGCUUGCUAAGGCCGAUGGCGACCGGCGCACGGGUGAGUAACACGUAUCCAACCUGCCGUCUACUCUUGGACAGCCUUCUGAAAGGAAGAUUAAUACAAGAUUGCAUCAUGAGUCCGCAUGUUCACAUGAUUAAAGGUAUUCCGGUAGACGAUGGGG